RNAcentral lists this ribosomal RNA (774 nucleotides) under uncultured Neocallimastigales. Its description in RNAcentral is "partial large subunit ribosomal RNA". It matches the Rfam family "Eukaryotic large subunit ribosomal RNA", at positions 22 to 621 of the family's 3401-position model. The record is from RNAcentral. Lineage: Eukaryota; Fungi; Neocallimastigomycota; Neocallimastigomycetes; Neocallimastigales.
AUAUCAGUCAUGCAUAGCAUAUCAAUAAGCGGAGGAAAAGAAACUAACAAGGAUUCCCUUAGUAACGGCGAGUGAAGCGGGAAGAGCUCAAAUUUGAAAUCUUCAAGGUUUUACCUUGACGAAUUGUAGUUUAAAGAGGUGUUUUCUGUUGAAGUUUUGGUAAAAGUUCUUUGGAAUAGGACAUCAUAGAGGGUGAGAAUCCCGUAUUUGACCAUUACUUUCAGCUUUGUGAUACACUUUCAAAGAGUCGGAUUGUUUGGGAAUGCAGUCCAAAAUGGGUGGUAAAUUUCAUCUAAAGCUAAAUAUUGGCGAGAGACCGAUAGCGAACAAGUACCGUGAGGGAAAGAUGAAAAGAACUUUGAAAAGAGAGUUAAACAGUACGUGAAAUUGUCAAAAGGGAAGCGUUUGACACCAGUGUUGUUUUCUCGAAAAUCAAUUAAAAAGAGUUGGAUUUUGUGUUGUAUUGACUUUAUCAGCUUUCUUCACUCUUUUCCAGCUUUUUUUAAUGCACUUUUCGUUUAACAAGUCAACAUCAGUUUCUUUUGUUGUAAAAAGGUCAUUGGAAGGUGGCUUUCUCUUCGGAGAAAGUGUUUAUAGCCUUUGACUCAUGCAAUCGGAGAGACUGAGGUCUGCAGCGUAGAUCCUUCGGGGUUAGAUACAUUUGUGCUAAGUUAUAGCUUUUCAUAGACAACUUGUUGACUAUGUUUAGUCUUGUAGCUUACUCGCUUAUGCUAUUUUACCUACGCUUAGGAUGUUGAACUCUAUCACACACAG